RNAcentral lists this ribosomal RNA (307 nucleotides) under uncultured bacterium. RNAcentral's name for it is "partial 16S ribosomal RNA". It matches the Rfam family "Bacterial small subunit ribosomal RNA", at positions 506 to 807 of the family's 1533-position model. The record is from RNAcentral.
AGACAGCAGUCGCCGCGGUAAAACGUAGGGUGCAAGCGUUAAUCGGAAUUACUGGGCGUAAAGCGUGCGCAGGCGGUUAUAUAAGACAGAUGUGAAAUCCCCGGGCUCAACCUGGGAACUGCAUUUGUGACUGUAUAGCUAGAGUACGGCAGAGGGGGAUGGAAUUCCGCGUGUAGCAGUGAAAUGCGUAGAUAUGCGGAGGAACACCGAUGGCGAAGGCAAUCCCCUGGGCCUGUACUGACGCUCAUGCACGAAAGCGUGGGGAGCAAACAGGAUUAGAUACCCCCGUAGUCCCUGUCUCUUAUAC